GCUGGGCGCGGUGGUGCAUGCCUGUAAUCCCAGCGGCUCGGGAGGCUGAGGCAGGAGGAUCAAGAGUUCAAAGCCAGCCUCAGCAAUAGCGAGGCACUAAGCAACUCAGUGAGACCCUGUCUCUA
This 125-nucleotide small RNA is filed under the name Marmota monax (woodchuck). Lineage: Eukaryota; Metazoa; Chordata; Mammalia; Rodentia; Sciuridae. The record is from RNAcentral.